RNAcentral lists this ribosomal RNA (468 nucleotides) under uncultured bacterium. Its description in RNAcentral is "partial 16S ribosomal RNA". It matches the Rfam family "Bacterial small subunit ribosomal RNA", at positions 28 to 507 of the family's 1533-position model. The record is from RNAcentral.
GACGAACGCUGGCGGCGUGCUUAACACAUGCAAGUCGAACGGAAAGGCCCUGCUUUUGUGGGGUGCUCGAGUGGCGAACGGGUGAGUAACACGUGAGUAACCUGCCCUUGACUUUGGGAUAACUUCAGGAAACUGGGGCUAAUACCGGAUAGGAGCUCCUGCUGCAUGGUGGGGGUUGGAAAGUUUCGGCGGUUGGGGAUGGACUCGCGGCUUAUCAGCUUGUUGGUGGGGUAGUGGCUUACCAAGGCUUUGACGGGUAGCCGGCCUGGGAGGGUGACCGGCGACAUUGGGACUGAGAUACGGCCCAGACUCCUACGGGAGGCAGCAGUGGCGAAUAUUGCACAAUGGGCGGAAGCCUGAUGCAGCAACGCCGCGUGCGGGAUGACGGCCUUCGGGUUGUAAACCGCUUUCGCCUGUGACGAAGCGGGAGUGACGGUAAUGGGUAAAGAAGCACCGGCUAACUACGUG